ACUAGACGCACGUCUCUGAAGAACCCAGUCAUACUUGAAGCCUGAGGCCAGCGGAAUAAACAAAAGGAAAAAUGAAGUUGUUCGGAUAACUGGAGCUCUUUGACAGUUCUUCGCCACACCCGUGUGUUCUGUGUCAGAGCGCGCAGGGGCCAACAAACGAGGAGGUUAAUGGCAUCUGCUUCAAUCAGGCGAAACGUCAAACAUGUUCCUGAGUGAAAUCAAUUGGAAUCAGUCAGAGAGACGUUUUACAGCUCCGCGGCAAUGCUGGCGCGAGUCCCCGCGUCUUAAAGUUUCACCAUUAGGAAAAAAAACAGAAACUUCUGAAUGCACCGUUUGCCAGCCUCCAUGUUUAGGAGGCAAUCUGGAAUAUGUUUUGAAAACCACAUGGACUUGGAGCUGCCCUGCUGGUCCCACAUGAAUUGAAUGAAUUAGCGUUUUCUUGACCUACAUUAUUGUGGGCCUUUUGAUUGCAUCAUGCCAAGUAUUUUUUUUUUCUUCUUUUUUCCUUCUCCCUCUCUCCCGGUCUCAGUCUUCCAAUCCCUAAAAAAAAAAAGCCUCUCGGUUAUUUUCCCUCUCGACAGACCUUGACACAUGUUGCUUGUGUGCGAGCCUGUGAAAUGGCUGGCUUUACUAAAGACUCCAAUCCCAUCCCUCCCUUUCUCUCUCUCCCUCUCCCUCUUCCUCUCUCUCUCCCUCUCUCUCUCUCUCUCUCUCUCUCUCCCCCACUGGCACUAAGCCACCUCAUGCCACAUCAACAGAUAGCGGCGUUGGACUUUUUUUUUUUUUUUAAGUUUGUCCGGGCCAAUUCAUUAAAGCUAGGCCUUUCAUCUCGGCCGCACAAAUGGCUUGGAUUGUUUUUAAAAGCCUUGGCUCUUCCGUUUUUCGCCGUUUGAUGCUCACGAACCCCAACAGACCCAGUCUUUGUUUCUCAUUAUGGGGUACUGUAAGAAGAGCAAGCCAAAUGUUGAUACGUUUUUCAGAGGAGCAGGGGAGAGGGGGGGGGGGGGUUGGGUGGAUGAAGGGGAUGAGGGGGUUUGUAUGGAGAGAGGCUCAGUUGUUAUCCUUUAAGAAGGAACAGAAUUUGGGAUAUCGAGGCACAAGAAAUUGUUUUGUUUUCCACCUAUUUGGUCAUGAUACACCUCCCCAUUCCACGCGAACAGAGACCAAAUCAAAAGACAUGCCAAAGUCCUCAGAGAUGACAUGCAGCAUGGGGUCCCAUUGAGAUGAUCUUGACAUGGAACAUCUGGCUGUACUUCCCCCAGGUGUUCAGUAUUGACUGUGUAAUGAUGGAGUUUGAUGGAGUUUAGACAGGUUGCCAGAGAGUCCCUCUUUUUUUUCUUUUUUUUUUUUCUUUCUAAUUUUUAAGCUUUUUCAUCUUCCCUGUUAAGCUUCUUUUUUUGAAUGGCACUUGUUAAACUGUUCCAAUCAUAGCGGUGUGUUUGGCUCUUCUUCCCUGUAAACCACACCAAACCAUAUUGUGGCGUCAUACUGACAAUACGGUUACACCCUGUUCCACUUGCACUAGCCACAAGUCCAUAUCCUGUCAGAGAUUUGUUUGUUUGUGUGUGUGUGUGUGUGUGUGUGUGUGACUGGCCUCUGUGUAA
Clupea harengus (Atlantic herring) is the source of this 1604-nucleotide long non-coding RNA. The record is from Ensembl. NCBI's taxonomy places the organism in Eukaryota, Metazoa, Chordata, Actinopteri, Clupeiformes, Clupeidae.